CAAUAGCGUAUAUUUAAGUUGUUGCAGUUAAAAAGCUCGUAGUUGGAUUUCGGGUGGGACGCAGCGGUCUCGCAUUGCGUUUGUACUGCUGCAGCCCUCCUUCUUGCCGGGGGCGGCCUCUCGGACUUCACUGUCUGGGGGUCAGAAUCGGCGAUGUUACUUUGAGUAAAUUAGAGUGUUCAAAGCAAGCUUACGCUCUGAAUAUAAUAGCAUGGGAUAACACGACAGGACUCUGGCCUAUCGUGUUGGUCUAUAGGACCAGAGUAAUGAUUAAGAGGGACAGUCGGGGGCAUUCAUAUUCCGUUGUCAGAGGUGAAAUUCUUGGAUUUACGGAAGACGAACAUCUGCGAAAGCAUUUGCCAAGGAUGUUUUCAUUGA
RNAcentral lists this ribosomal RNA (378 nucleotides) under uncultured eukaryote. Its description in RNAcentral is "partial 18S ribosomal RNA". It matches the Rfam family "Eukaryotic small subunit ribosomal RNA", at positions 592 to 976 of the family's 1831-position model. The record is from RNAcentral.